RNAcentral lists this ribosomal RNA (406 nucleotides) under uncultured bacterium. RNAcentral describes it as "partial 16S ribosomal RNA". It matches the Rfam family "Bacterial small subunit ribosomal RNA", at positions 30 to 526 of the family's 1533-position model. The record is from RNAcentral.
AUUGAACGCUGGCGGCAGGCCUACCACAUGCAAGUCGAACGAGUGGCGGACGGGUGAGUAAUGUCUGGGAAACUGCCUGAUGGAGGGGGAUAACUACUGGAAACGUUAGCUAAUACCGCAUACCAUCAGAUGUGCCCAGAUGGGAUUAGCUUGUUGGUGGGGUAACGGCUCACCAAGACGACGAUCCCUAGCUGGUCUGAGAGGAUGACCAGCCACACUGGGACUGAGACACGGUGCAGACGCCUACGGGAGGCAGCAGUGGGGAAUAUUGCACAAUGGGCGCAAGCCUGAUACAGCCAUGCCGCGUGUAUGAAGAAGGCCUUCGGGUUGUAAAGUUCUGUCAGCGGGGAGGCGUUACCCGCAGAAGAAGCACCGGCUAACUCCGUGCCAGCAGCCGCGGUAAUUC